GACGAACGCUGGCGGCGUGCCUAAUACAUGCAAGUAGACCGCACAGUUUAUACCGUAGCUUGCUACACCAUAGACUGUGAGUUGCGAACGGGUGAGUAACGCGUAGGUAACCUGCCUGGUAGCGGGGGAUAACUAUUGGAAACGAUAGCUAAUACCGCAUAAUAUUAAUUAUUGCAUGAUAAUUAAUUGAAAGGUGCAAUUGCACCACUACCAGAUGGACCUGCGUUGUAUUAGCUAGUAGGUGAGGUAACGGCUCACCUAGGCGACGAUACAUAGCCGACCUGAGAGGGUGAUCGGCCACACUGGGACUGAGACACGGCCCAGACUCCUACGGGAGGCAGCAGUAGGGAAUCUUCGGCAAUGGACGAAAGUCUGACCGAGCAACGCCGCGUGAGUGAAGAAGGUUUUCGGAUCGUAAAGCUCUGUUGUAAGAGAAGAACGGGUGUGAGAGUGGAAAGUUCACACUGUGACGGUAUCUUACCAGAAAGGGACGGCUAACUACGUG
RNAcentral lists this ribosomal RNA (505 nucleotides) under uncultured bacterium. Its description in RNAcentral is "partial 16S ribosomal RNA". It matches the Rfam family "Bacterial small subunit ribosomal RNA", at positions 28 to 507 of the family's 1533-position model. The record is from RNAcentral.